UCUUUGCAGUCGAAUGAUGGUGUAACGAAGCAUGUUCAUGUUUCGUUAGUAAAAGGGAAUCCGGUGCAAUACCGGAGCUGUACCCGCAGCUGUAAGCUCAAGAAAACCUCGGUCUACCAUUGCCACUGUCCGCCUGCGGACGGGAAGGCUACCGAACUAAGGGAGCAAGCCAGAAAACCUGCCGCAAUUCUUAAUACCGA
RNAcentral lists this non-coding RNA (200 nucleotides) under Macellibacteroides sp. Lineage: Bacteria; Pseudomonadati; Bacteroidota; Bacteroidia; Bacteroidales; Porphyromonadaceae. The record is from RNAcentral.